RNAcentral lists this ribosomal RNA (254 nucleotides) under uncultured bacterium. RNAcentral describes it as "partial 16S ribosomal RNA". It matches the Rfam family "Bacterial small subunit ribosomal RNA", at positions 524 to 776 of the family's 1533-position model. The record is from RNAcentral.
UACGUAGGUGGCAAGCGUUAUCCGGAAUUACUGGGCGUAAAGCGCACGCAGGCGGUCUUGUAAGUUUGACGUGAAAGCUCCCGGCUUAACUGGGAGAGGUCGUUGAAGACUGCAAGACUUGAGGAAAUGAGAGGGGCGUAGAAUUCCCGGUGUAGUGGUGGAAUGCGUAGAUAUCGGGGGGAAUACCAGUGGCGAAGGCGGGUUGCUGGGCUGACACUGACGCUGAUUGUGCGAAAGCUAGGGGAGCGAACGGG